GACGAACGCUGGCGGCGUGCUUAACACAUGCAAGUCGAACGGUAACGCGCCGCCUUUCUGUUGUUCACUAGUGGCUAACGGGUGAGUAACACGUGAGUAACCUGCCCCCUACUCUGGGAUAAUCCCUGGAAACUGGGUCUACUACUGGAUCUGACCAUCCCCUGCAUGGUGUGUUGGUGGUACGGUCUUUUGGUGGGGGAUGGACGCGCGGGUUAUCAACUUGUUGGUUGGGGUAUGGCCUCCCAAGGCGGAGGCGGGUAGGCGGCAUGAGGGGGCGACCGGCCACAAGGGGACUGAGAGACGGCGCAGACUCCUACGGGAGGCAGCAGGGGGGAAUAUUGCACAACGGGCGAAAGCGUGAGGCAGCGACGCCGCGUGAGGGAUGAAGGCCUUGGGGUGGGAAACGGAUUAAACCUGGGACGAAGCCAAAGUGACGGUACCGGGAGAAGAAGCACCGGCUAACUACGUG
This 469-nucleotide ribosomal RNA is filed under the name uncultured bacterium. RNAcentral describes it as "partial 16S ribosomal RNA". It matches the Rfam family "Bacterial small subunit ribosomal RNA", at positions 28 to 507 of the family's 1533-position model. The record is from RNAcentral.